UUCACUGAGUUGUACGGCAAUCGGAUUUAACUAUAUGCAAAGACUAUGGAAGAGAGGUAGCACGGGGGUAAGUCCAAUUCGUCAUGGGGCGAAAACUCAUAACAGAAGACUAGAAGGAACAAGAAUGCCGGGCACCACAAAAAGUUGGGACUGACGGUUUGGACUUUGGACGGUUUACGUGAUGUCGUCGUCGUACGAUGACGCUGCCUCAGAGACUGAGAAAAUUCGAUGCUGGUGCUGGAGCGUGUGUGUUCCAUUAAAAACAGAAAAGAAAUAAAUAAUGAACGUAAACCAGAAAUUAAAGAAACCUUCGACUAAGUUUAGACGGGACCAAAGACCAAUUCAUGCGAAUACGUCAUUGCUUGUAGAUAAAUGGGUGUCAUCGUACACUGGGGUGCAAAAGUGGUUCAAACUUGUUUUGACGGCGCCAAACUAGAAAUAAAGCUAUUUGCUUAACUAAGAACCCUAGU
This is a non-coding RNA of Drosophila melanogaster (fruit fly), 470 nucleotides long. The record is from Ensembl. NCBI's taxonomy places the organism in Eukaryota, Metazoa, Arthropoda, Insecta, Diptera, Drosophilidae.